Molecule: ribosomal RNA, 187 nt
Filed under: Brevibacillus sp. Leaf182
Lineage: Bacteria; Bacillati; Bacillota; Bacilli; Caryophanales; Paenibacillaceae
Description: partial 23S ribosomal RNA
Rfam family: Bacterial large subunit ribosomal RNA
Source: RNAcentral
UAGUUAUGUGCGGACGGGAUAAGCGCUGAAAGCAUCUAAGCGUGAAGCCCCCUCCAAGAUGAGACUUCCCACAGCGCAAGCUGGUAAGACCCCUCAUAGACGAUGAGGUUGAUAGGUUCGAUGUGGAAGCGCGGUAACGCGUGGAGCUGACGAAUACUAAUCGGUCGAGGACUUAUCCACACAUUCU